This 466-nucleotide ribosomal RNA is filed under the name uncultured bacterium. RNAcentral describes it as "bacterial SSU rRNA". It matches the Rfam family "Bacterial small subunit ribosomal RNA", at positions 28 to 507 of the family's 1533-position model. The record is from RNAcentral.
GACGAACGCUGGCGGCGCGCCUAACACAUGCAAGUCGAACGAGCGAGAGAGAGCUUGCUUUCUCGAGCGAGUGGCGAACGGGUGAGUAACGCGUGAGGAACCUGCCUCAAAGAGGGGGACAACAGUUGGAAACGACUGCUAAUACCGCAUAAGCCCACGACCCGGCAUCGGGUUGAGGGAAAAGGAGCAAUCCGCUUUGAGAUGGCCUCGCGUCCGAUUAGCUAGUUGGUGAGGUAACGGCCCACCAAGGCGACGAUCGGUAGCCGGACUGAGAGGUUGAACGGCCACAUUGGGACUGAGACACGGCCCAGACUCCUACGGGAGGCAGCAGUGGGGAAUAUUGCACAAUGGGGGGAAACCCUGAUGCAGCGACGCCGCGUGGAGGAAGAAGGUCUUCGGAUUGUAAACUCUGUUGACGGAGAAAAAAUGAUGGUAUCCGUUUAGAAAGACCACGGCUAACUACGUG